Long non-coding RNA from Mercenaria mercenaria, 3926 nucleotides. RefSeq lists it as uncharacterized. The record is from RefSeq and is a predicted model, not a curated record. Lineage: Eukaryota; Metazoa; Mollusca; Bivalvia; Venerida; Veneridae. The transcript has 3 exons.
AAAUCGGUUUUCCAUUACAAUAUUGCACAUAAUUCUCUCAUAUCAUUUGGUGUUUCACCUAAACGUUCCUUAAGAUAUUUGGAUUUCCACCUACUUACUCAGUGUUACUUUUGUUAAGAGAUAUUUUGUCUAUACAUAGUAACAGUUGGUGGAAUUUGAUUGGAUUAUUUCUUUACAAAUUAGAUGACUGUUUAAGACGGGGAAAAUACUGCGUCUAGGCACAUGGCAAAAAGACCAAAAACUGAUGCAAAAGAUGUUCAAGACCCGAAAAGAACAACAAAUGCCACCACGUCGGAACUCAUAAUUGGCAUAAUAGGAGCUGCUACACGAACACCAGACAUGAAUAAAGUUGACAUUAGCGAUGAUAUUUCCGAAAUAACACCAGGAUCAAAGCUUCUUUCUGACUCCGAUGUCCCUCCAAGACUUGAAAAAGUUAAAAAGAAAAUGAAAAGGCACACGAAAGAAGAACAUUCAAAGAAACAUCCAGCAGAUGAUGAAAUGUCUAAGAAAAAAGACGUUAAAAGUGACGACAGAGAUACCGAUGUUGAAGCUAAAAGCUGACAGAAUAAUAAAUGCUCCAUAGUAUCAAACCUUUAUAUUAACUAUGAUCUCAAUUAGGUGAUUAUAUUUAUGUAUCAUAGUGACUGAAGCUGACUAAGAUAAAAAAGGACAAAUAUCUUGCUGCUUCAAGCCAUUUGCAUACAACAUAUUGACCACAUCACGUUACAUUUCACUUAAGUAAAUGCAAUGUGUAUUACAUAUAUCUGAUAGGUUCUUACUUGAACAAUAAUAACAUUGUUAUUAGUUUCAGUUACAAAUCUUAUCAAAUUCAAUUCCAAUGCAUUUUAUAUAUUUUUAAUAAUAGUUUACCUCAAUACAGGUAUUAGAUUUUGGCAGAACGGACAUUAAAAUAUAUUCUAGGGAAUUAUAAAUCCCAAAGGAAUUGAACCUUAUCGUAUACACUACGUUGUUCAUGAUUCUGACACAUUUGUUCAUACUCCAUGUGUUUAUUUGUCAUUUUUGUGACUAAAGGGAGACAAUAAUUUUAGCCGAAAAUGAACUGGUAUAUGACUAUAUUUCACUUUAUAUGUUUAAAAAAGCCACUUUUUAGUGGUAGUACACGUCUAUGCUAUGUUUAUCUAUACAUGUACACCGUGUGUGCUAUUCUGAACCUACUGCAUAGUACAGGUAAUACUCAUAAACUUGUUAAUUUUAUGUUUACACAAAGUAUAUGAAGUAUCUGUUUAUGUUUUAUAUGUGUAAUUUGGAUCAUAUAUACCUUUGAAUGUUAUAUGUUGCAAAAAGUUUUUCAUUGUUUGCAGUAAUACUAUUUUGAACAAUUGAGAUGAAGUACGAGCAUUUAAAUAUGUUUCAAGAAUAGUUUACCAUUCGAAGAAUUAAUGCUUGAUAUAUCUGUUAGAAGAUACAUAAUACAACAAAGAUUAGAUAUUAUUUGUAAUUUCGGAAACAUGUAUAAUGCUCAAUAGUCUACUAAAUACUGCAAUAGCUGAUUGCAGCAGUUAAAGCGCGGACAGUAUGAACUAAAAGAUCAUAUGACAUUGCCAGCCAUCGAGUGUAGCAGUUCUUGUAGAGGAUAGAAAAUACGUAUAUUAUUAUAUGUAAUAUGCAGUUCGAUAUUGCACAUUUUUUAUUACAUAACAUUUUGUGAAUUGAUUACACACAGGUCUAUAAAAACAGAGACAUGAAAAAUACGAAAUAAGCUAGCUUUGAACUUUUAAUUGUACACACCUCAUUGUUAUAAAUAUACCAGAUGUAUCAAGAUUUUUAUGUGAUGCAGUUGUGUAUGGUCACAGGAAAUAAAGGAGCUGUCCUUUAUUUUCAAAUGCUCUGAAACAUAGAAAUACACGACAGUACAAGAAAAAUAUAAAAAAAUAUUCGAAUAAAGCUAUAUAUAUAGUGUAUUUGUUUAAACAUAAUUAUCUAAGAAUUUAUAUGAAGACAUUACUGUUAAAUCGGUAUGAAUUAUAAAAAUGUAGUUUUUCAAAAGAAAUUUAUUAUGUAAAUUAUCAAAUUUAGUUUCCAGCUAUAGUGUUGCUUAUAAGAUUUUGACUUGAAAUGCAUGCCAUAGUUAUUCAUUAAAAACUACAAUUCAAAAGCGGUGAAAAUUAUAAAAAUGUAUCAAUUUCUAUAAAAUCUUUGCUGGAUAAAAGAGAUAAUAUUUUGCAUCCACGAUAACAAGAUAUAGUUAGAGUACUUAAUGAUAAAAUUGAGUUUUAUUACUUUUACUGUUUUUUACCUAAUGUCUGUGAUAUACUAUGUAAAACUGCAUAUAUGCCGAAAUGAAUUAUUAUUAUGUUAUAACUGUAAAUCAUACAGAUAAGACAGUUAAGUAGUACUAACUGAUAUUUCUAAAUACAAGUUAUUAAAAAUAGAGAGAUUGGCUUACAGAAAUCAAUGUAUUAUUUGACAGAAAUCAAAUAUUAAACGCUCGUUUUAACCUAAAAGUAGCAAUAAAAAGGAGAUAUUUAGUAUGUUUUAGAAAGAAUUCGUUAUUGAUUUCAAUGUGUUUGUAUUUGCAGUAAUAUCUGAUUUUGACGGGAAUGGUUUUCUCAUUCGUAAUAAGGAGUAAUCAAUCUUAAGAUAUGUUAUUAAAUACCAAUUCCCAGACGGUUAUCUUUCUAACUGCAAUUUUGUAGACGUUUUACCUCUGUGUUACUGCUAACGUUUACAUUUAGGACGGUCAAAGGGAAGCAACACUAAUAGAAAUUUAAAUACCAUUAUAUUUGCUAAUGUUUCUCAAUUCUACGUACAUGAUUGCAUUACUUAUUGGAAUAUCUAUAUUCAUAUUUCUGUGAAAAUGUUUAACAUAAUCAUCGGUUGAUUGUAAAUGUCAUUUUAUAUUUAAAAACGCGCACUUCACAUUGACCGUAAUGGUAUCGCAUAUAUUUGUAAAUGUUCAUGUUUGAAUACUAAAGUCGGAAUAUCCCUGCCUAAUUAUUUUCAUCAAGUUGUCAUUUUGUGUUGCUAGGGAAUGAAAAUGAUGUCAAAGCAGUUGUUAUAAUUCUUUUUAUAAGAUUAUAUUUUAUUUAAAGUUUAUAAAAUAUUUUCUGCCAAAUCCAAAUGAUUUCGAACAGAAAGGUUCCUUCAUAUUUUGAUAUUGCUUCCGUGGAGUGUAACAGAUCUCGUAGAGAAAACCUUAGGCUUAAAAUAUUUGAUGUAUCAUUUACAAAAUGAGUUCGUUUUAAAGGAAUGUAGAAUAAUCGGUCUUUACUUGUUAUUCUAAAUUUUAUAUAGUCCAAUAAUUUUUAUAUAUGAUGUCUUUCAAUUUACUAUUUUUUACCCAGUCACAAUAUUAACAUAUAAUUUACCCUGUAUUAAGUUGUCAUUUCUUCAUUUUUUGAUAAUUUAUUUAGCAUAAUUACAUAUAACUGUGAAAUACCAGUUGGAGCAAUUAUACAUAUGCAUUUACUGUAGUUUACACAGCAUCACUAAUUUUCUGUGCAAUUACAGGUUGCUGUAUUUUAUUUCAUAGAUAAAUAAAGAAGUUUUGAUAGUAUAUUGAAAUUUACUCUAGUCAUAGAUGGUUUGUAAUUGGAAAAUAACUUUUCUUUUUAAAUAUUUCGAAGUUUUUUGUCUUAUAUAUUUCAACGACAUACAUUUAUGAAACUGUUGAUGCCAAAGCAAAGCAUGGAGCUUCAAUUAUGCAAAUAAUAUUAUUUAAUAUUUUCGUGACGUCAGUGAUAAAUGUAAAAUAAUUACUGUAGUAAUUUGUAUCGUUAUUAUUACUUAUUGUUACAGUUAUAAUGAUAAUGAUGAUAAUGUUGCUGUUGAUGAUGAUAAUGAUGAUGGUUAUGAUAAUAAUGAUAAUUAUAAACUAAUGAUACUAACAAUUAUGAAAAUAAUGAUAGAAAUGGUAAGUGUAAUUAGUUACAGUUCUUAAUAUUAAACCUAUUGAAUUGCAUUUA